Lactuca sativa (garden lettuce) is the source of this 368-nucleotide long non-coding RNA. RefSeq lists it as uncharacterized. The record is from RefSeq and is a predicted model, not a curated record. NCBI's taxonomy places the organism in Eukaryota, Viridiplantae, Streptophyta, Magnoliopsida, Asterales, Asteraceae.
CUGAUUCCGGCUGCCAUCAAUGCGAACCAGAAUCCUCCACCGUCUGAUCUCCUCCUCCAUGAUGUUUACUGUGACGACUCGAAGAACUGAAGCCGGCGGAGACGGAAAUUUCAUCGUCAUUGGUCAAAAUUUCGAUUUAGGGUAAAAUUUCAGAAAUCAUGAUGAAUUACUAAAGUUAUCCAGUUAUCAUUGAAAGUUAAAAGUUAUAUGGGCAAAGAAUACAAGGUGUUGUGAUUUUAAUUUUUGCAAUAACAGAUGGUAUCCUCUGUUUUUGUACUAUUUUCAGUCAGCCUAAUUCUCAAACUGGAGAUAGCAUUUGACUUUCAAUAGUUUGUAAUGUGCUUAGUUAGUAUUAAUCCUUCGCUAAA